Molecule: ribosomal RNA, 238 nt
Filed under: uncultured bacterium
Lineage: Bacteria
Description: partial 16S ribosomal RNA
Rfam family: Bacterial small subunit ribosomal RNA
Source: RNAcentral
CGGGGUGAGUAACACGUGGGUAACCUGCCUAAAAAAGGGGAGUAACACUUGGAAACAGGUGCUAAUACCGUAUAUCUCUAAGGAUCGCAUGAUCCUUAGAUGAAAGAUGGUUCUGCUAUCGCUUUUAGAUGGACCCGCGGCGUAUUAACUAGUUGGUGGGGUAACGGCCUACCAAGGUGAUGAUACGUAGCCGAACUGAGAGGUUGAUCGGCCACAUUGGGACUGAGACACGGCCCAA